UGGAAAAGAGGGUGGUUGAACAAGCCUCUGCUGAAUGGAAAUACAAAGCUGCAAUACACUAACUUGGAACAUACUUCUUUGCUGAGACUGCAUGCUACCUUUGAAUGGGAACUUAAAAACUUUCGAAUCCAACAAAACCAUUUAGAGAUUGCAAGAAGCUUCUCUUACUUGUCAUCUUAUCUUCUGGUCAACUCGCCGCCGCAUCUACUGUAGUAGAAAGUUCCAUACAAUCCUAGGAAUCAAAAGUGAAGCGACGACAAGACUGACAUCUGCUUUCUGGAAGACGCCAUUGUGCCAACUACAGCUGUGGGGUCUGCAUGAGAAAGGAACAAAAAUAGCCCAAGUAACCAAGGAGCGUGCAGUUGAGAGCGUGCGCCCUAUUGUUUGUGGCUCUGACACUAUGUGAUGGAACAAGGAACGUGGACGUGGCUACCCUGUUCCAGGACAGCCUCCCCAUUGAGAGGGACAAGCAUUGUCCAGAAGCAGCAUCUACCGGUACAACAUGGUCUUCCUCAAAGAAUACAGGGCUGUUCGCUACAGGAGGAACCUCUGAAUUGGAGAAAAGUCUCUUACACAGGCUGACCGAUUUCUCUUGGUGUUCAGAGUCUUAGUGUUUGUCUAGCACCAUUUGAAAUCGGUUAUGAUGUAGGGGGAAAAGCAACAGUAAUUGGAACUUCACUUUUCCCCCCGUGCACAAUUCCUACGCGAUGACCACAGUGGCUCCAGAAUACUACCAGAAAGCGUAUUACCGGUACCUUGCUACAUAAAUACACAGGUAUUUACAAAUGAACGCCUUUGUGUUAGUUGUAUGCGGCUGUUCAAUAUGCUGUGUAAAGUGAAAGGCAUGGAGCAGACGUUUCCCCUUGGAAAGAUGCUUAAGGUAUUUGAAAUGCAUCAUCUAAAAAGAUUUAGCUCAAACUCUUGAAUUUCAGGGAGGUGCAGGGAUGUGCGAGAGAGAACACAUAUGUGUAUGUAUGCAGAAGUGCCUCCCUUCCUGACUGUUAGCAAGCAGACAAGUGGCCCUUUGAUUCUGCAAGCUUACAAACUAUGUCACCUACUCUGAGCUACUAUUUUCAAUAAAAAUUUGUACUGCAUUGUAUUG
Long non-coding RNA from Gavialis gangeticus (Gharial), 1102 nucleotides. RefSeq lists it as uncharacterized. The transcript is spliced from 4 exons. The record is from RefSeq and is a predicted model, not a curated record. Lineage: Eukaryota; Metazoa; Chordata; Crocodylia; Gavialidae.